GCGGGUGUGGCGAAAUUGGUAGACGCACUAGACUUAGGAUCUAGCGGGCAACCAUGGGGGUUCGAGUCCCUCCACCCGCA
This 80-nucleotide transfer RNA is filed under the name Bacteroidota bacterium. RNAcentral describes it as "Bacteroidetes bacterium (activated sludge metagenome) tRNA-Leu". It matches the Rfam family "tRNA". Rfam says of the family: Transfer RNA (tRNA) molecules are approximately 80 nucleotides in length. Their secondary structure includes four short double-helical elements and three loops (D, anti-codon, and T loops). Lineage: Bacteria; Pseudomonadati; Bacteroidota. RNAcentral also lists the same sequence under 3 other names. The record is from RNAcentral.